AUGAACGCUGGCGGCGUGCCUAAUACAUGCAAGUCGAGCGGACAGACGAGGAGCUUGCUCCUCUGACGUUAGCGGCGGACGGGUGAGUAACACGUGGAUAACCUACCUAUAAGACUGGGAUAACUUCGGGAAACCGGAGCUAAUACCGGAUAACAUGUUGAACCGCAUGGUUCAACAGUGAAAGACGGUCUUGCUGUCGCUUAUAGAUGGAUCCGCGCCGCAUUAGCUAGUUGGUAAGGUAACGGCUUACCAAGGCAACGAUGCGUAGCCGACCUGAGAGGGUGAUCGGCCACACUGGAACUGAGACACGGUCCAGACUCCUACGGGAGGCAGCAGUAGGGAAUCUUCCGCAAUGGGCGAAAGCCUGACGGAGCAACGCCGCGUGAGUGAAGAAGGUCUUCGGAUCGUAAAACUCUGUUAUUAGGGAAGAACAAAUGUGUAAGUAACUAUGCACGUCUUGACGGUACCUAAUCAGAAAGCCACGGCUAACUACGUG
RNAcentral lists this ribosomal RNA (496 nucleotides) under uncultured bacterium. Its description in RNAcentral is "partial 16S ribosomal RNA". It matches the Rfam family "Bacterial small subunit ribosomal RNA", at positions 29 to 507 of the family's 1533-position model. The record is from RNAcentral.